GACGAACGCUGGCGGCGUGCCUAAUACAUGCAAGUCGAGCGGACGGAUGGGAGCUUGCUCCCAGACCGUCAGCGGCGGACGGGUGAGUAACACGUGGGCAACCUGCCUGUAAGACUGGGAUAACUCCGGGAAACCGGGGCUAAUACCGGAUAACUCUUUCCCUCACAUGAGGGAAAGCUGAAAGAUGGCAUCUCGCUAUCACUUACAGAUGGGCCCGCGGCGCAUUAGCUAGUUGGUGAGGUAACGGCUCACCAAGGCGACGAUGCGUAGCCGACCUGAGAGGGUGAUAGGCCACACUGGGACGGAGACACGGCCCAGACGCCUGCGGGAGGCAGCAGUAGGGAAUCUUCCGCAAUGGACGAAAGUCUGACGGAGCAACGCCGCGUGAGUGAUGAAGGUUUUCGGAUCGUAAAACUCUGUUGUCAGGGAAGAACAAGUACCGGAGUAACUGCCGGUACCUUGACGGUACCUGACCAGAAAGCCACGGCUAACUACGUG
RNAcentral lists this ribosomal RNA (498 nucleotides) under uncultured bacterium. Its description in RNAcentral is "partial 16S ribosomal RNA". It matches the Rfam family "Bacterial small subunit ribosomal RNA", at positions 28 to 507 of the family's 1533-position model. The record is from RNAcentral.